GGUUAAGCGACUAAGCGUACACGGUGGAUGCCCUGGCAGUCAGAGGCGAUGAAGGACGUGCUAAUCUGCGAAAAGCGUCGGUAAGGUGAUAUGAACCGUUAUAACCGGCGAUGUCCGAAUGGGGAAACCCAGUGCAAUUCGUUGCACUAUCGUUAACUGAAUACAUAGGUUAACGAGGCGAACCGGGGGAACUGAAACAUCUAAGUACCCCGAGGAAAAGAAAUCAACCGAGAUUCCCCCAGUAGCGGCGAGCGAACGGGGAGCAGCCCAGAGUCUGAAUCAGCUUGUGUGUUAGUGGAACGGUCUGGAAAGUCCGACGGUACAGGGUGAUAGUCCCGUACACCAAAAUGCACAGGUUGUGAACUCGAAGAGUAGGGCGGGACACGUGGUAUCCUGUCUGAAUAUGGGGGGACCAUCCUCCAAGGCUAAAUACUCCUGACUGACCGAUAGUGAACCAGUACCGUGAGGGAAAGGCGAAAAGAACCCCGGCGAGGGGAGUGAAAAAGAACCUGAAACCGUGUACGUACAAGCAGUGGGAGCACCUUCGGGUGUGACUGCGUACCUUUUGUAUAAUGGGUCAGCGACUUAUAUUCUGUAGCAAGGUUAACCGUAUAGGGGAGCCGCAGGGAAACCGAGUCUUAACUGGGCGUUAAGUUGCAGGGUAUAGACCCGAAACCCGGUGAUCUAGCCAUGGGCAGGUUGAAGGUUGGGUAACACUAACUGGAGGACCGAACCGACUAAUGUUGAAAAAUUAGCGGAUGACUUGUGGCUGGGGGUGAAAGGCCAAUCAAACCGGGAGAUAGCUGGUUCUCCCCGAAAGCUAUUUAGGUAGCGCCUCGUGAACUCAUCUUCGGGGGUAGAGCACUGUUUCGGCUAGGGGGUCAUCCCGACUUACCAACCCGAUGCAAACUACGAAUACCGAAGAAUGUUAUCACGGGAGACACACGGCGGGUGCUAACGUCCGUCGUGAAGAGGGAAACAACCCAGACCGCCAGCUAAGGUCCCAAAGUCAUGGUUAAGUGGGAAACGAUGUGGGAAGGCACAGACAGCCAGGAUGUUGGCUUAGAAGCAGCCAUCAUUUAAAGAAAGCGUAAUAGCUCACUGGUCGAGUCGGCCUGCGCGGAAGAUGUAACGGGGCUAAACCAUGCACCGAAGCUGGCAGCGACACUAUGUGUUGUUGGGUAGGGGAGCGUUCUGUAAGCCUGCGAAGGUGUGCUGUGAGGCAUGCUGGAGGUAUCAGAAGUGCGAAUGCUGACAUAAGUAACGAUAAAGCGGGUGAAAAGCCCGCUCGCCGGAAGACCAAGGGUUCCUGUCCAACGUUAAUCGGGGCAGGGUGAGUCGACCCCUAAGGCGAGGCCGAAAGGCGUAGUCGAUGGGAAACAGGUUAAUAUUCCUGUACUUGGUGUUACUGCGAAGGGGGACGGAGAAGGCUAUGUUAGCCGGGCGACGGUUGUCCCGGUUUAAGCAUGUAGGCUGAUUAUCCAGGCAAAUCCGGAUAAUCAAGGCUGAGGUGUGAUGACGAGGCACUACGGUGCUGAAGUAACAAAUGCCCUGCUUCCAGGAAAAGCCUCUAAGCAUCAGGUAACAUCAAAUCGUACCCCAAACCGACACAGGUGGUCAGGUAGAGAAUACCAAGGCGCUUGAGAGAACUCGGGUGAAGGAACUAGGCAAAAUGGUGCCGUAACUUCGGGAGAAGGCACGCUGGUGUGUAGGUGAAGCCCCUGCGGGUGGAGCUGAGACCAGUCGAAGAUACCAGCUGGCUGCAACUGUUUAUUAAAAACACAGCACUGUGCAAACACGAAAGUGGACGUAUACGGUGUGACGCCUGCCCGGUGCCGGAAGGUUAAUUGAUGGGGUUAUCCGUAAGGAGAAGCUCUUGAUCGAAGCCCCGGUAAACGGCGGCCGUAACUAUAACGGUCCUAAGGUAGCGAAAUUCCUUGUCGGGUAAGUUCCGACCUGCACGAAUGGCGUAAUGAUGGCCAGGCUGUCUCCACCCGAGACUCAGUGAAAUUGAACUCGCUGUGAAGAUGCAGUGUACCCGCGGCAAGACGGAAAGACCCCGUGAACCUUUACUAUAGCUUGACACUGAACAUUGAGCCUUGAUGUGUAGGAUAGGUGGGAGGCUUUGAAGCGUGGACGCCAGUCUGCGUGGAGCCAACCUUGAAAUACCACCCUUUAAUGUUUGAUGUUCUAACGUUGGCCCCUGACCGGGGUUGCGGACAGUGUCUGGUGGGUAGUUUGACUGGGGCGGUCUCCUCCCAAAGCGUAACGGAGGAGCACGAAGGUUAGCUAAUCCUGGUCGGACAUCAGGAGGUUAGUGCAAUGGCAUAAGCUAGCUUGACUGCGAGCGUGACGGCGCGAGCAGGUGCGAAAGCAGGUCAUAGUGAUCCGGUGGUUCUGAAUGGAAGGGCCAUCGCUCAACGGAUAAAAGGUACUCCGGGGAUAACAGGCUGAUACCGCCCAAGAGUUCAUAUCGACGGCGGUGUUUGGCACCUCGAUGUCGGCUCAUCACAUCCUGGGGCUGAAGUAGGUCCCAAGGGUAUGGCUGUUCGCCAUUUAAAGUGGUACGCGAGCUGGGUUUAGAACGUCGUGAGACAGUUCGGUCCCUAUCUGCCGUGGGCGCUGGAGAAUUGAGGGGGGCUGCUCCUAGUACGAGAGGACCGGAGUGGACGCAUCACUGGUGUUCGGGUUGUCAUGCCAAUGGCACUGCCCGGUAGCUAAAUGCGGAAGAGAUAAGUGCUGAAAGCAUCUAAGCACGAAACUUGCCCCGAGAUGAGUUCUCCCUGAGACUUUAAGUCUCCUGAAGGAACGUUAAAGACGAUGACGUUGAUAGGCCGGGUGUGUAAGCGCAGCGAUGCGUUGAGCUAACCGGUACUAAUGAACCGUGAGGCUUAACCUU
RNAcentral lists this ribosomal RNA (2899 nucleotides) under Klebsiella pneumoniae. RNAcentral's name for it is "23S ribosomal RNA". It matches the Rfam family "Bacterial large subunit ribosomal RNA". The record is from RNAcentral. Lineage: Bacteria; Pseudomonadati; Pseudomonadota; Gammaproteobacteria; Enterobacterales; Enterobacteriaceae.